RNAcentral lists this ribosomal RNA (459 nucleotides) under uncultured bacterium. RNAcentral describes it as "partial 16S ribosomal RNA". It matches the Rfam family "Bacterial small subunit ribosomal RNA", at positions 338 to 795 of the family's 1533-position model. The record is from RNAcentral.
CCUACGGGUGGCAGCAGUGAGGAAUAUUGGUCAAUGGGCGGGAGCCUGAACCAGCCAAGUCGCGUGAGGGACGACGGUCCUCUGGAUUGUAAACCUCUUUUGUCGGGGAACAAAGGCGCCCACGGGUGGGCGGAUGAGUGUACCCGAAGAAAAAGCAUCGGCUAACUCCGUGCCAGCAGCCGCGGUAAUACGGAGGAUGCGAGCGUUCUCCGGAUUUAUUGGGUUUAAAGGGUGCGUAGGCGGACAGUCAAGUCAGCGGUAAAAAUGCGGUGCUCAACGCCGUACAGCCGUUGAAACUGGUUUUCUUGAGUGAGUGAGAAGUAUGCGGAAUGCGUGGUGUAGCGGUGAAAUGCAUAGAUAUCACGCAGAACUCCGAUUGCGAAGGCAGCAUACCGGCGCUCAACUGACGCUCAUGCACGAAAGUGUGGGUAUCGAACAGGAUUAGAUACCCUAGUAGUC